RNAcentral lists this transfer RNA (64 nucleotides) under Acroneuria carolinensis. RNAcentral's name for it is "tRNA-Ala". It matches the Rfam family "tRNA". From Rfam's summary of the family: Transfer RNA (tRNA) molecules are approximately 80 nucleotides in length. Their secondary structure includes four short double-helical elements and three loops (D, anti-codon, and T loops). The record is from RNAcentral. Lineage: Eukaryota; Metazoa; Arthropoda; Insecta; Plecoptera; Perlidae.
AGGACCGUAGUUAAGUAUAACAUUUGGUUUGCAUCCAAAAAGUAUUGAUUUAUCAAUCUGUCUU